UGACAAAAACAAUCAAUGGGGAAAGGAUUCCCUGCUUAAUAAAUUGUGUUUGGAAAACUGGUUAGCCAAAUGCAUAAAGCUGAAACUGGACUCCUUCCUUAAACCUUAUACAAAAAUUAACUCAAGAUAGAUUAAAGACUUAAACAUAAAACCAUAAAAACCCUAGAAG
Molecule: long non-coding RNA, 169 nt
Organism: Cebus imitator (Panamanian white-faced capuchin)
Lineage: Eukaryota; Metazoa; Chordata; Mammalia; Primates; Cebidae
Exons: 3
Source: RefSeq, a predicted model, not a curated record